This is a long non-coding RNA of Etheostoma cragini (Arkansas darter), 321 nucleotides long. RefSeq lists it as uncharacterized. The transcript is spliced from 3 exons. NCBI's taxonomy places the organism in Eukaryota, Metazoa, Chordata, Actinopteri, Perciformes, Percidae. The record is from RefSeq and is a predicted model, not a curated record.
ACAGUCCAUGGUUCCAUAGUAGCGGUCUGCUGUUAGCCUCCACCGGAAAGCUAACAACAGACAUCUUAAUUUAGCUGUAGCUGCUUUUCCCACGGUUUAGUUUGAGUAACGUUAUUGUAGACUGAAGCAAAGCUAGCGGUUAGCCGGGAAGCUAACGGCGGUGGAGGCUAACCGUUCUCUUAAUACAUCCAUGGGUCUAACGGCUAACGGCCACAACUAUGACAGAUCGUGUACUGAUGUGUUAGCUAAGAGAACGGUUAGCCUCCACCGGUAAGCUGACGCUAGUUUAGCUAACAGAUAUUUCGGCCAACAGGCUUUAGG